CGCUAUCCAUCCUACGGGAGGCAGCAGUGGGGAAUAUUGCACAAUGGGCGCAAGCCUGAUGCAGCCAUGCCGCGUGUGUGAAGAAGGCCUUCGGGUUGUAAAGCACUUUCAGUCGUGAGGAAGGUAGUGUAGUUAAUAGCUGCAUUAUUUGACGUUAGCGACAGAAGAAGCACCGGCUAACUCCGUGCCAGCAGCCGCGGUAAUACGGAGGGUGCGAGCGUUAAUCGGAAUUACUGGGCGUAAAGCGCAUGCAGGUGGUUUGUUAAGUCAGAUGUGAAAGCCCGGGGCUCAACCUCGGAAUUGCAUUUGAAACUGGCAGACUAGAGUACUGUAGAGGGGGUAGAAUUUCAGGUGUAGCGGUGAAAUGCGUAGAGAUCUGAAGGAAUACCGGUGGCGAAGGCGGCCCCCCUGGACAGAUACUGACACUCAGAUGCGAAAAGCGUGGGGAGCAAACAGGAUUAGAUACCCCUGGUAG
Molecule: ribosomal RNA, 475 nt
Filed under: uncultured bacterium
Lineage: Bacteria
Description: bacterial SSU rRNA
Rfam family: Bacterial small subunit ribosomal RNA
Source: RNAcentral